GACGAACGCUGGCGGCGUGCCUAACACAUGCAAGUCGAACGGAAAGGCCCUGCUUUUGUGGGGUGCUCGAGUGGCGAACGGGUGUGUAACACAUGAGUAACCUGCCCUUGACUGUGGGAUAUCUUCAGGAAACUGCGGCUAAUACCGGAUAGAAGCUCCUGAUGCAUGGUGGGGGUUGGAAAGUUUCGGCGGUAGGGGAUCGACUCGCGGGUUAUCAGCUGGUUGGUGGGGUAGGUGCUUACCAAGGGUUCGACGGCUAGCCGGCAUGAGAGGGUGACCGGCCACAAUGCUACUACGAGACGGCGCAGACGCGUACGGGAGGCAGAAGGCGAGAAUAUGGCACAACGGGGGGGAGUCUGUUGCAGCAACGCCGGGAGCGGGAAGACGGCUUUCGGGGUAUAAACCGCUUUGGCCUGAGACGAAGCGUGAGUGACGGUAAUGGGUAAAGAAGCACCGGCUAACUACGUG
RNAcentral lists this ribosomal RNA (468 nucleotides) under uncultured bacterium. RNAcentral describes it as "partial 16S ribosomal RNA". It matches the Rfam family "Bacterial small subunit ribosomal RNA", at positions 28 to 507 of the family's 1533-position model. The record is from RNAcentral.